AUCCCCAUCCGAUUGUGUGAUUUUCCUUUUCAAAGGAAAACAUACAUGCAGCAAAUUAGGCGAUGGUGGUGCCUAGUUCUCCUGCAGAACUUUCCCAUGCCGUCUGAAGAGGUUAAAAAGAUCAAAAAAUGAGUGAAAACAAAACACACUACAGGAUGAUGUAGAAGACUUCCCCCCAAGAAGUCACAGCAUGUCACAUCAGCGUCCAGCUCUGUAGGAUCAGACGAUACUGAAAACAAAAUGAAUGUGAACUGGGAGCUGUGAACUGGGAAGCAGAUGUUCUUCUAAGGGACACCCUAGAGGCAGCAAGGUGGUGUGAACUGCAAACAUUUAAAGGCAGUUUCCCUCCCUAAUGUAAUUAGGAAGACCGUAUUACAACUGUUAAAGAACUACGGUUGUAUGAUGGCCUGAAUGAAGAGGAAAAUAUUCUCCUCAAGGAACCAUUCAUGUUCCAUUUACAAGACGUUCUAUGUGGAGGAAGUUGACAACAAGAAAAGUACUGUCUUUGCCUCUUUUGAGGAGUGGUCAAACCUUGGUUUUGUCUGCUCUGUUAAUUGUUUCAAUUGUGAAGAUGACAUAGCAUGAAGUGAAGUGUUUAAAACUCACCUGCUAAUACUUUAUAGAAUAUUUCUUACGAUCUUCAAAAAUGAAAUAUGUUUGUAUUCAACGUGUGCCUUGCACAAACGUGUGUGUUUGUAUUCAGAGUGUGACUCAAACCUCAGAUGGACAAGAAAAGGUGGGCUAUGAAGCCCCUAAAUAAGAUUUGUGGCAGCCAA
Oncorhynchus gorbuscha (pink salmon) is the source of this 776-nucleotide long non-coding RNA. RefSeq lists it as uncharacterized. The transcript is spliced from 5 exons. The record is from RefSeq and is a predicted model, not a curated record. Lineage: Eukaryota; Metazoa; Chordata; Actinopteri; Salmoniformes; Salmonidae.